ACGGAGGCACUUUUGCGCUCGGAUCGCGCAAAACUUGGGAAACCACGGGCUUGCCUCAUACAUGUGGCGGCUAAUAUUCGAGAAAGAACAAUUCCACCUUUAUCGAAAUAUUCUUGUGGAAACUUAGUGUCAAUGGGACUUGAGGAAUACGCUGCAGAAGAAACCAAGAGUUUGGACUUUGAACGCUUGGUUCCUAUAGUGGAUAGUGCAACAAGAAAAGCCGUUGCGGAAUGUACCAACUUAUUGUCUGAUGGUGAGUUUGGAUACAAAGUCAUGGUUGAUGAAUAUAUCGAUAUAUGUGAAAAAUCGAAUGACGAUAACUUGAACUGCUUAUGGUUUACUGACUGGUCUAAGUUCGGAUAUUAUGAAAAGGAUUUUGGUUUCGGAACACCCAUUUGGACAAGCAUUGUGAAUAUUCCAGUGAAGAACCUUAUCAUAUUGAUGAAUACCAAAGAGGACGAUGGAAUUGAAGCAUGGUUGCAUUUGCACAAGGAAGACAUGCCUUAUUUCGAACAAGAUGAGGAAAUCAAAAAACUCGUUACUUAGUUUCAAAAAGUCAUCGUCAAUGAGAUUCAAAUGAAGCCAUCGUUUGUGGGAGUCAAAUAAAGUGUCUUGUAAUUUUAUUUCAGCUUCAUUUGGAGUCUUGGACGAUGAGGAAUCUGCUGUAACUUAAGAAUAAAAAUUUUAUCCUUUCAUAUUAGAACUUUUAACUUUCAAUUUUAACAUAAAAUUAAAGUAUCAUAGUACACAAAAAUCCUCCAUAUACAUUCUAUUUAUAUAUUUUGACAACUCGAUAAAAGUUCGUUCUUUAUCUCCCUGUGGUCAUGCCCAUAAAAAGAGAACCGGCCGUAAACCACAUAAAUAUUAUCUUGGAGCCGAGUAGCAUUGAAUGUAUCCGUAAGAAGGGAAGGCAAUAUGACUUUAGAUUAUGGGGAAAAAUUGGUGAUUUGUGUAUAUUCAAGGUGUAUCUCAAGUUAUAUGUAUCAAGUGGCAUGAAAAUCAAUCCCUUUUAUAGGGAAAAUUUUAACCCUACAUUCAUGGAAAUAAAUCCAACUUGUAUACAAGUUACACUAUAGCAUUAAGGGGUUUUAAUUUUGUUAAAAAACCGAAAAUUAAAUGAUUGAAAGAUUGACACUAAUUUUUACUUCUAUCAUUUAUAUCUAUUUUUCUUCCAAAAAUUUUAGUGGUAGCUAUAAGAAUUAUAGAUAUUUCUCACCACCUCCUUAAACCAUUCUCCAAUUAAUUAUUAGGAGCUUAAGGCAUCAUUAUGAUAGCCCUUGCUGAAUUCUUUCAGCUCAUAUACACACAAAGUUGUGCAUAUAAAUGUGAUGCUAGAAAAGAUUUAACUCUAAAUGUGUGUCGAAGCGAAAAGCGAGAAUUCUUGCGAGGUGUAGGUCACACGCACCCUUGGAGGACUCACCUAUAUAAGAGUUGCCAUAAAGUUGUGACUAUAAGAUUGUGCUAUUCUCUAGUGACUUACUAGAAUCAAGAUUAGAGCGCAUAGUCAUUAAGAAUGCUACCCGCUAUGAACUAGAGCAUAAAUUAAUACUGUAUGUGAAACAAUUGAAGUUUGGUCAAAGGGACGUAAUUCAAGGCUAUUAUAGCUCCCUCAAAAGGAAAUUAAUAUCGCUAAGUGAGGUUCAAGUCCAAAAGACACAUACACACACAUAACUUGAGACACAACUUAAAUACACACAAAUCACCCAUUUCCCAACGAAAUCUUGUUUGUUAAUUAUACGUUGUUUCUGUUUGAUUGUGUUUCAUCAAUAAUAAUGUUUAUAAGGUUUCUAUGUGAAUUUUAUGUCAUUUCUUUGGAUGCAGUUUGUUCUGGAUAGUCAACAGUAUAAGAAUGUCUUCAAGAGGUUCUGUAUUUAUAAAUAACAUCUUACGCGUAUUUAAGUGUAUCUUUAAAUUUAGAUAUUAAAUUUUUUUUAUAGACUCCAACAAUUCUGUGUUUUGACUCUUCCUUUUUUUUUUUUGUUAAAGAAAAUGAUUUUUCCUCAUUUUUGUUGAACAUAUAUAUUUAUUUUUUACACGCGAUAUGUUAUUAAUUCAAAUAUGAUUUGAAUUAUUUAAGAAGUAGAGUAUUGAAAUCUGUGAUGUGUAUUGCAUGAGGUUUCAACUUUACUUAUUUUAAUGGCUUUUGUGCAGUUUAUUUUAGGCUUUUUAAUUGUUAAUUAAGUUAGGAUUAGAUUUUUUUUUUUUUACGAGAUUGCGAUUUUUCUAAUUAUAACUGUCUAAACUCUAAUCAUGCUUUGCUUUCAAUUCUUGGUAUUUGAUGCUUCAAACCAACGAUAUAUUUCAAGUUCUUGAUAUUGGUGCACAAACCCUCAAAUCUUAAUUUAUUGCUUAAUUUUUUAGUCUUAUGAAUAUAUGGAUAGUAAAACAUGAUCAUGCUGAGGUAAUUGAUGGGAAAUCAACGAAGAUAUCGAUCGCGUUUUGUUCAAUGCUUUAUGUUUGUGCUUACGCCACGUCAUUAUCUGUGACAGUUGACAAACCCACUAAUCUAUGGUUCUUCAGCCCUGUGCAAAAUGGAAAAAGCGUACCAGUGGAUGAUAUAUUUGAUAUAGUAUUAAAUGAUUUUUGGGCAUAACUCAUUAAUGACACUUAUAAUUGUUUAUUCAAACAUGGUAAUGUCUUAUAUAUUGUAAGAAAGAACCUGUGUUGGUUCAUCGUGAUAUUUAAGUAAGAUUUUAUGUUGGUUUUUAUAACAGUGACCAUUUACGAAACUUCUAUAAAUUUCCACGAUCAAUUGUAUAUGAAAAACAAUUUAUUGAUUUUGAAAUUUUAUACAAACAUGAGUUAUUGUUGAUGAAAUAAACUGAGAAUCUAAAUUACAUUGCAAUUAUACUUUUGGAGAUUGGAGAAAAGGUUCAGUGAUUGAUAGUAGGGAGAAAUUAAAUGGUAACAAAUUUAUUUUCAUAUGCAUUGUCACAGGAUCCAUUCCCGAUUAUAUUUACACAAUUUUUAUUUCUUACACAACAUUUUAAUUGCAUUUAAUGUUCUUAAUCUUUGUUAAUUAUAGCACUUAUGUCCCUAAUAAUUUUUCAUAUCAUUCUUAUUCUCAAAUUUAAAUUAAUGAAAUACAUCGUGAACAAAACUCAUCCUUUAAAGUAAUGACCAAAGUAAAGACCCACAUGCUUACUAAAUCGAGAUUCAAUUUUGGAAAUAAACUCAAUGAAUACAUAAGAAAGACUCAAAUUGUUUAAAUUUUCAUUAAAAUCAAUCAUUAAGUAUACUCUCUACUUCUCGGCCAGCAAAAUUAUAAAAUAAUAUGAACAUUAAGUUAAAUUUAUCAAAUAAAUUAAGUAUAUAGAUAUUUAAUUUUAUGUUACAAAAACCAUAAACCCAUAUAUGGGAAUUUGGAGAGAGUUCAUAAGUGUGAUUUUUUGCACUUAUCCGAAUCUAGGAAAGUGAAUAUUUGGGAGUCACUUUGAUGGAAUUACUACAUAAUUUAGCUAUAUAUUGAUUGUUAUAGAAUAAAUUAGAUGUUGAAGGCUAAUGAUAAAAAGAAGGAAAAAAAAAAGACAAAAUUUAACAAUUCUAGAAGUUUGGAAACUUAAUUACAAAUCUUUCAAACAUGAUAUGAACCAAAGAUGGAAAAUUAAGGACGACGUGGGCCAAAUUGGAGGCAUUUGAAGAUGAAGGAUCCCUAUUUCAAACUAGGAAGCAUUCAAGUUGAACAAAUGAAGGAAUAUAGAAACUAAAAUGGAAAAGGCCAAAAAGAAGGCCUUGCGAUUGCAAGGAACCUUCCAUGUGAUCGCAAGGUGGUUUGACUAUUUGCUUGUGCUACAAUAGUAGCCACGCCAAUUACAAUAGUCAUAACAAUGUGAUUGCAUGGUUCUUUCCGGUGUUUCUUUUAUCGAUUGAGCAUCUUUUUGGAAUUCAAGUCAAACUCUUUUCAAUCUACUUUUUUUUGGGGGGGGGGGGGGGAAAAUUUACCAACUUUUUAUUUGUAGAUCCACAAUAUCUCGUAAAAUUAACCCCAACUUACAACGUAUCAAACCAGUUGGGGGGGGGGGGGGGGGGGGACAAAUUUUUAGAUACCAACCUUUAGAGAGAAAACAGGAGGAAAGAUACAAAAUUAUACAUUCAUAAAUGCAAACUCAUUUUUAUUGAAUGAAUUUCGGAUGAAGGAAAUGAAUGCAGAAUGACAUUAUUCAAGAAGCAUUGGAGAAAUAAUUCUCAAGUUUUCCUUUCUUUCUUUCUAUAAUUAAAACUCGGGUGAUAUCUCAAUAUUCAAUUAUGUAUUUUUGUUACUUUAUGAUGCUAGGCUAAAUUUCUAGUCACUAAGGAUGAAUACAAACUUUUAUUUUGACAUUUUAAUUCCAAUUUCGAGACUUUGACAUUUGAUGAUUGUUUUAGCUUGAAUAUUUUUUAUAAGUUUAAUGCUUUCAAUUAAUUUUCUAAUAAUUAAAUUGAUUUGUGAUCUUUGUUUAUUUCAAGAAAAGAAUAAGGAUUAUAGUGCGUAACAACGAUCAUUAUAAAGUACAAUAUGGGAUAGAGAUAUACCAUUAUGUCUUGCAUGAUUUAAAUGAAUGUUAUUAUAUUUUAAUAAAUGUUUACAUAUUUGCUUCCAUCAUAGAGAUAUAAUAUGGUCAUAUGUGAGAUUAGAUUUAAUUAUACUUGAGAGUGAUUAUUGAAAAAAAAUAGGAACAUUGAUCGUCAAAUUUAAACGAAUGUUAUCAUUAUUUUGAAUUGUUGUUGAAAUGAGACAAUAAAGGGAGAUUCGAAGUCCUGAUCCUUUUCAUUAGCUGAGUUUAUAAAAAUUUCUUACUAGGUCGUUUAGUUUAGCUUUUAGAUAUUUCUACAUUAAUUAGCUAUAAUGCAAAUCAAUCAUAUUGCCCUAUUCACUUAGAGACAGUUUAAUUUAAAUCAAAUUAAAUACUUGGUCCUCAUGGGAGUGAUAAUUUAUUUACAUUAUAUUACUUGAUUACAAUAUCACACACGAAAAAAAAUUUAUCAAUCAAAAUUUUUGUGUCCUUAGAUUUAAGAGGAAUCAUGAAAUAUCAAGUCAUGCUAAGGUUCGUCUUUGUAUCGAAUUAUAUAAUUUGUUCCAUCGUUUGUGUGUGCCCUUGUCAUUCAUUUGAAUUUCAUUCUCGCAAAAGUACUCCUCGAGAUACUUAACUCAUUAGCCACGAUACUAGACAAAUUGAUGCGCACAUUACCUAGUAUCCUUCAUUUACGACUAUACUACUCGAAUAUCAAAUCUCAUUCGCUCCCUUAGCUUUCAUCUCUUAGUCUUGUUAGUGGGUUGGCAUUUAACUCGUAUCUACCAUUGGUGCUUGACACGUUUCGAAUCCAAGAAAGUGAUUCAUAAUGGGUCAUGUCAAACUCUCUAUUUAUAAAGAGUGUUUUUUGCAUAUUAGAGAGAAUCUUAAAUUUGUAGAAUAACUUAUAUUUAUAAGCUCUAUAAUACUCUUUAUUUUAACAAGUAUGUUGGUUGUUCAUAGGGAAACCAUUCACAUGUAAGGGGGUGGGUGAAUUUUUUAUUUUUUAUUUUUUAAAUAAUCACCCACCCCCCACUCCACCCACCUCAGAUGUGCCUAGUCCACAAGCCUGUACAGCCAUCAUUUUACUUAUUUUAAGGAAACAUAUAUUGAUUUCUUCAUCUUCUAUUAACAUAUAUUUUUAACAUGUCGUUGGCUAAUUAAUUAAAAUAUGAUCUGAAAAAAGAAGAGAAGUAAUUCGCCAACAUUAAAUGCGAUUAUUGUAUAGUAAGCAUAAGAAGUGGGGUCUCCCUGUUUGGACAGCUGUGGGUACGACUAUAUGGGUGAGCUUUUGGUAUGGGAAUCUCCUCAAAAUCUUGAAAAUUAUUAGAAAAAUCUGCUACUCCAAUCUCCUCGUCUUCCGUAAUAACAUUACGGUCUCCAAUUUCCUCUUCACCUUCUUUUAUAAAUUACUUGGAUCAUCCAGCUUGAUAUUAGUUAAUGAAGAAGAUAAUGAAUUAUUUUGUGCAGCACCAACUGCCCCCACCAAACAACGUGAAACAUGCAAAACUAUAGUCUUUUGACGUGCGUUGUUAAGCAAUGGCCACCAUAUAAAUAAAUCAUGUCAUGCACCUUCUAACUCGCACAUUGAAGAUUUGAAGUCUUCUUAAUUACCAUUUUAUUAAGGUAAGUAACAUAGACACUGAUUUCUCGCGUAUCUAUUAUCAGAUAUCUUGCUUUAGAAAUUGAUAAUAACAUAACAGUGUCUGCAUUAUUUUGUAGCAUCAGAAUGAAGGUGAAGAUUUUGAGCAGAAAGUUGAUAAAGCCAUGCACACCAACUCCGGAGAAUCGUCGAAGUUACAAAAUUGCAUCCAUCGAUGAGAUUAAUCCAACUAUGAAUGUCGUUGGCAUUCUCUACUAUCCAUUCAAUGACAAAAUGGAACAUGUACUUAAAAAUAUGGAAGAAUCUCUGGCCCAAGUCUUGCCCCAGUUUUACCCUUUUGCCGGAAGAUAUAUCAAAAAGGCAUACUCGGUUGAUUGUAACGAUGAAGGUGCUGAGUACGUAGAAGCUCAAGUGGAUUGUGAGCUUCUUGAUAUUAUUGGCUCUGGGGUGGAACCUGGGGAGCUAAAUGAUCUUCUUCCACUAGAAGUCGGUGCUGCUGAUGAAUUCACAGAUCCAAUUUUGUCCAUUCAAAUAAACAAAUUUAAAUGUGGAGGGAUAGCCAUUGGUGCAUGCAUUUCACAUAGGAUUGUUGAUGCAUGUUCACUUGGCAUAUUCUUAUCUGCAUGGACAAAGGCCACCCGAGGAGACUCCACUGGUGAACCCAUUAUCCCAAAUUUUGAUUCCCCAUUUUACUUUCCAGGUCGGAAUCUAGGUGAGCUUGAUUUUGGAACCUCAAGAACUAGGGACUCUAACAUUGUGACCAAGAGGAUCUUAUUCGGUAAGAAGGUGAUAGCAAACCUAAGAGACAGAGUUAACCACUUGUACGUAAAAAGAGAACGUCCACCCUCGAGGGUGUUGAUGGUUACUUCCUUUUUAACGGAGGCACUUUUGCGCUCUGAUCGCGCAAAACUUGGGAAACCACGGGCUUGCCUCAUACAUGUGGCAGCUAAUAUUCGAGAAAGAACAAUUCCACCUUUGUCGAAAUAUUCUUGUGGAAACUUAGUGUCAAUGGGACUUGAGGAAUACGCUGCAGAAGAAACCAAGAGUUUGGACUUUGAACGCUUGGUUCCUAUAGUGGAUAGUGCAACAAGAAAAG
Molecule: long non-coding RNA, 7189 nt
Filed under: Olea europaea (common olive)
Lineage: Eukaryota; Viridiplantae; Streptophyta; Magnoliopsida; Lamiales; Oleaceae
Description: long non-coding RNA (OEUR_LNC002370)
Source: RNAcentral